CCUACGGGGUGCAGCAGUCGAGAAUCAUUCACAAUGGGGGAAACCCUGAUGGUGCGACGCCGCGUGGGGGAAUGAAGGUCUUCGGAUUGUAAACCCCUGUCAUGUGGGAGCAAAUUAAAAAGAUAGUACCACACGAGGAAGAGACGGCUAACUCUGUGCCAGCAGCCGCGGUAAUACAGAGGUCUCAAGCGUUGUUCGGAAUCACUGGGCGUAAAGCGUGCGUAGGCUGUUUCGUAAGUCGUGGGUGAAAGGCGCGGGCUCAACCCGCGGACGGCACAUGAUACUGCGAGACUAGAGUAAUGGAGGGGGAACCGGAAUUCUCGGUGUAGCAGUGAAAUGCGUAGAUAUCGAGAGGAACACUCGUGGCGAAGGCGGGUUCCUGGACAGUAACUGACGCUGAGGCACGAAGGCCAGGGGAGCGAAAGGGAUUAGAUACCCCAGUAGUC
Molecule: ribosomal RNA, 446 nt
Filed under: uncultured bacterium
Lineage: Bacteria
Description: partial 16S ribosomal RNA
Rfam family: Bacterial small subunit ribosomal RNA
Source: RNAcentral